CCCUUAGAUGUCCUGGGCCGCACGCGCGUUACACUGAUGCAUUCAACGAGCUUAUAACCUUGGCCGAGAGGCCUGGGCAAUCUUGUUAACGUGCAUCGUGAUAGGGAUAGAUUAUUGAAAUUAUUAAUCUUGAACGAGGAAUUCCUAGUAAACGCAGAUCAUCAAUCUGCAUUGAUUACGUCCCUGCCCUUUGUACACACCGCCCGUCGCUCCUACCGAUUGGGUGUGCUGGUGAAAUGUUCGGAUCGGCCGUUUGUCGCGGUUUCCGCGGCUCGUGGCUGAGAAGUUCAUUAAACCCUCCCACCUAGAGGAAGGAGAAGUCGUAACA
RNAcentral lists this ribosomal RNA (328 nucleotides) under uncultured eukaryote. Its description in RNAcentral is "partial 18S ribosomal RNA". It matches the Rfam family "Eukaryotic small subunit ribosomal RNA", at positions 1470 to 1796 of the family's 1831-position model. The record is from RNAcentral.